GAUGAACGCUGGCGGCGUGCCUAAUACAUGCAAGUCGAGCGAACAGACGAGGAGCUUGCUCCUCUGACGUUAGCGGCGGACGGGUGAGUAACACGUGGAUAACCUGCCUAUAAGACUGGGAUAACUUCGGGAAACCGGAGCUAAUACCGGAUAAUAUAUUGAACCGCAUGGUUCAAUAGUGAAAGACGGUUUUGCUGUCACUUAUAGAUGGAUCCGCGCCGCAUUAGCUAGUUGGUAAGGUAACGGCUUACCAAGGCGACGAUGCAUAGCCGACCUGAGAGGGUGAUCGGCCACACUGGAACUGAGACACGGUCCAGACUCCUACGGGAGGCAGCAGUAGGGAAUCUUCCGCAAUGGGCGAAAGCCUGACGGAGCAACGCCGCGUGAGUGAUGAAGGUCUUCGGAUCGUAAAACUCUGUUAUUAGGGAAGAACAAAUGUGUAAGUAACUAUGCACGUCUUGACGGUACCUAAUCAGAAAGCCACGGCUAACUACGUG
RNAcentral lists this ribosomal RNA (497 nucleotides) under uncultured bacterium. RNAcentral describes it as "partial 16S ribosomal RNA". It matches the Rfam family "Bacterial small subunit ribosomal RNA", at positions 28 to 507 of the family's 1533-position model. The record is from RNAcentral.